RNAcentral lists this ribosomal RNA (422 nucleotides) under uncultured Haliangium sp. RNAcentral describes it as "bacterial SSU rRNA". It matches the Rfam family "Bacterial small subunit ribosomal RNA", at positions 353 to 772 of the family's 1533-position model. The record is from RNAcentral. Lineage: Bacteria; Pseudomonadati; Myxococcota; Haliangiales; Kofleriaceae.
AGUGGGGAAUAUUGGACAAUGGGCGCAAGCCUGAUCCAGCCACGCCGCGUGAGUGAUGAAGGCCUUCGGGUCGUAAAGCUCUGUGGGGAGGGACGAAUGUCCGGAUGUAGAAUCCGGGGUGACGGUACCUCCUUAGCAAGCACCGGCUAACUUCGUGCCAGCAGCCGCGGUAAUACGAAGGGUGCAAACGUUGCUCGGAAUCAUUGGGCGUAAAGCGCACGUAGGCGGCUUCGCAAGUCGGAUGUGAAAUACCUAGGCUCAACCAAGGACGUGCAUCCGAAACUGCGAGGCUUGAGUACAGAAGAGGAUCGCGGAAUUCCCGGUGUAGAGGUGAAAUUCGUAGAUAUCGGGAGGAACACCAGUGGCGAAGGCGGCGAUCUGGGCUGAUACUGACGCUGAGGUGCGAAAGCGUGGGGAGCAAA